UGAUGACGAGACGCUAAGGCGUUGAAGCAGUGUAUGUCAGACUUCCAAGAAAAGCUUGCACUGUCAUAGAUAAAACCUGCCUGUACCAUAACCGACACAGGUGGGUAGGUAGAGUAUACUAAGGGGCGCGAGAUAACUCUCUCUAAGGAACUCGGCAAAAUGACUCCGUAACUUCGGGAGAAGGAGUGCCUUAUUUAUAAGGUUGCAAUAACAAGAUCCAAGCAACUGUUUAUCAAAAACACAGGUCUCCGCUAAGUCGUAAGACGAUGUAUGGGGGCUGACGCCUGCCCAGUGCCAGAAGGUUAAAGAAGUUGGUUAGUGUAUGCGAAGCUGAUGACUGAAGCCCUGGUGAACGGCGGCCGUAACUAUAACGGUCCUAAGGUAGCGAAAUUCCUUGUCGGGUAAGUUCCGACCCGCACGAAAGGCGUAAUGAUUUGGAUACUGUCUCGGAGAGAGGCUCGGUGAAAUAGACUUGUCUGUGAAGAUGCGGACUACCUGCACCAGGACAGAAAGACCCUAUGAAGCUUUACUGUAACUUGAAAUUGGAAUUGGACUUUGCUUGCGCAGUAUAGGUGGGAAGCGUUGAAGAUAUUCUUGCGGGAGUAUUGGAGCUAUCAGUGAGAUACCACUCUUGUAAUGUUAGAUUUCUAACUUUGAACCAUAAUCUGGUCAAAGAACAGUUUCAGGUGGGCAGUUUGACUGGGGCGGUCGCCUCCCAAAUGGUAACGGAGGCGUACAAAGGUUUCCUCUGAACGGAUAGAAAUCGUAUCUAGAGUGUAAAGGCAUAAGGAAGCUUGACUGUGAGACCUACAAGUCGAGCAGGGACGAAAGUCGGUCUUAGUGAUCUGACGGUACUGAGUGGAAAGGCCGUCACUCAACGGAUAAAAGUUACUCUAAGGAUAACAUGCUGAUCUCCCCCAAGAGUUCACAUCGACGGGGAGGUUUGGCACCUCGAUGUCGGCUCAUCGCAUCCUGGGGCGGUAGUACGUCCCAAGGGUUGGGCUGUUCGCCCAUGAAAGCGGUACGCGAGCUGGGUUCAGAACGUCGUGAGACAGUUCGGUCCAUAUCCGGUGUAGGCGCUAGAAUAUUGAGAGGAGCCUUCUUUAGUACGAGAGGACCGAGAAGGACACACCGCUGGUGUACCAGUUAUCGUGCCAACGGUAAACGCUGGGUAGCUAUGUGUGGAGUGGAUAACCGCUGAAAGCAUCUAAGUGGGAAGCCCACCUCAAGAUGAG
This 1235-nucleotide ribosomal RNA is filed under the name metagenome. Its description in RNAcentral is "bacterial LSU rRNA". It matches the Rfam family "Bacterial large subunit ribosomal RNA", at positions 1564 to 2808 of the family's 2925-position model. The record is from RNAcentral.